UUGGUCGACGUCCCAACGUCCACGCGCCAGAGCUUCUAAAAAACCGAGCGCUUAUUGGUCAGUCGUCCAGUGACGACAUCGGAACCCCUGAGAGGAGAGCGCUCAUUGGUUUGACAGCAGAUGCGAGGUUAUAAGGAGGGGUUCUGGAGCAAAAUGAAGAGAAACAGACGUCAGAGGAAUUAAACUUCACCCCCUUUCAAUUGUUCUCGGGUUUCGAGUCAUUUAGCUUCUCCUGAUGGCAUCAUGGUGGCUGGCCACAGACUUCAGCAGUUCCUCUAAGAUCCCGAAGAUGAUUGUGAGAUAUAAUCUCUCCAACAGGUUCUGGGUCUUCCCUGGGGUCUCCACCCAGUGGGAUAUGCCUGAUACCUCCUCAACUGGCUCCUCUUUGUCUGCCAAAUCUCCGAGGCUUUCCCAGACUGUUGAGCUGAGAAGGUCGGCCAAGGCUUCUACAUCUCCUGCCACAGAUUAAGCAUAGCAUUAUGACCACCUGCCUAAUGUUGUGUUGGUCCCUCUUUUGCUGCCUAAACAGCCCUGUUGCCCAUCCUGCACUGUGUAUUCUGACCCCUUUCUAUCAGAGCCAGCAUUAACUUCUUCAGCCGUUUGAGCAACAGUAGCUCGUCUGUUGGAUCGGAUCACACGGGUCAGCCUUCGCUCCCCAUGUCCAUCAAUGAGUCUUGGCUGCCUAUGAUCCUGUCUCCGGUUCACCACUGUUCCUUUCUUGGACCACUUUUGAUAGAUACUGACCACUGCAGACCCCCACAAGAGCUGCAGUUUUGGAGAUGCUCUGAUCCAGUCGUCUAGCCAUCACAAUUUUGUCAAACUCGCUCAAAUCCUUACGCUUGUCCAUUUUUCCUGCUUCUAACAUCAACUUUGAGGGACAAAAUACAAAUUCACUUGCUGCCUAAUAUAUCCCACCCACUAACAGGUGCCAUGAUGAGGAGAUCAUCAGUGUUAGUCACGUCACCUGGCACUGCUCAUAAUGUUAUGCCUGAUCAGUGUACACUAUAUGGCCAAAAGUAUAAGGACACCUGACCAAUCAAACCCAUAUGCGCUUUCUGAAAAUCCCCAUUCCAGAUUUCAGCUCUGCCCCAAGUUCUCCAACCUAGUAAGGUUCUAAAACUAUCUACAUUUACAUUUGGAGGACACCCUUAUCCAGAGCAACUUGCAUUUCUUAACUCAUUUCAUACAACUGAGCAAUUGAGGGUUAAGGGUCUUGCUCAGGAAUCCAGCUUGAUGGACCCCACCCCCCACCCCCCAUUCUUUAUCCAAAGCCAAUUACAAUCGAAACACUACAGUUCACAAUCUUCUGACCAGCAGACAACUAGCCUUAACUACCUCACAGCUCUACUCCAAAGUUUUCCCAAAUAGAAAUUUCAGCUCCUCUUGGGGGAUCCCCAGACAUCCCUAAGCCAAUUGUUGAAAUAUAAGCUCUCCAGCCAGGCCCGGGUCUGGCUGAUCCAGUUCUAUUGGGAGUUGAAUACAGGACAAACAGAUUUGUCUUAUAUUUCAUCUAAAUUACCGACAGAAGCUUGACGAGCUCCUGCUUUGUUACCGACAUCCGUCCCGAUGUCAGCGAGAUCGGUGCAUCGUAUCUCGAACCCAACUCUGGAGGCUGAUAUUCACGACACGACGUCAUUUAAUAAAAAACAACUUUUAUUUCCUUUUUAAAAAAUAACCCUCCCCCCAACACUAUUACAUUACAGAGCCAAAAUAACUUUGUUCAUGUGUACUUCCGAAUCAGCCUGUUGGGAAGUGCUAAGAUAAGGGCCGUCGUUUUGCAGUGGCUUUGUAUUGCUUUUAUAGUGAGGCUGAGUCAAGUUCCAUCUCCAGUUCCUUCUCUUUGGGUCUAAAGGGGCUUGUUUUUUUUUUUUCUUCUUUCUUUUCUCUCCCCUCUCAUUUGAUUUGUGAGUUUAAGUACUGCAUCAUGAUAUAAAACUGCUGGAUCGGACCAGACCAGAUCAGAUCAGAGCCCUCACAAUUCUAUAGGCCCAACCGUCAGCGGCCAUUUCAAGUUAUAAAUACAUUUCGAGUUGGCUGAAACAUAAUACUCAUUUUUUUUU
Long non-coding RNA from Hemibagrus wyckioides, 2060 nucleotides. RefSeq lists it as uncharacterized. The record is from RefSeq and is a predicted model, not a curated record. NCBI's taxonomy places the organism in Eukaryota, Metazoa, Chordata, Actinopteri, Siluriformes, Bagridae. The transcript is spliced from 2 exons.